Molecule: ribosomal RNA, 745 nt
Filed under: Allognathotermes hypogeus
Lineage: Eukaryota; Metazoa; Arthropoda; Insecta; Blattodea; Termitidae
Description: 16S ribosomal RNA
Rfam family: Bacterial large subunit ribosomal RNA
Source: RNAcentral
AUUAGUAAAUCUCUUGUGUUGUUGUUUAUGAUUUGGGUGUUAAAUUCUUUUGAGGAAUUAGGCAAAAGUUUUCAUGUCCGCCUGUUUAACAAAAACAUCUUUUCUCGUUAGUUUUUGAAGUAUGGCCUGCCCACUGACGUUUAUAAUUAGUUGAAGGGCCGCGGUAUUUUGACCGUGCAAAGGUAGCAUAAUCAUUAGUUCUUUAAUUGUGAUCUGGUAUGAAUGGCUUGACGAGGCAUGGGCUGUCUUAAGUGGUGUGAAUAAUUUAUUGAAUUUGGUUUUUGAGUUAAAAUUCUUAAAUGUUUUUAUGGGACGAGAAGACCCUAUAGAGUUUGACAUUUAAUUUAUUCUUUUUUAGUUGUUUGUUGUUUAAGUUGAUUAAUUUGUGUGUUUUGUUGGGGUGAUGGGAGGAAUUUUCUUAACUCCUCUUUAUUUUGGUAUACUUAUUUGUAUAUAUUUUGAUCCUUUAUUUUGAUUAUAAGAUUAAAUUACCUUAGGGAUAACAGCGUUAUCUUCCUUGAGAGUUCUUAUUGGCGGGAAGGUUUGCGACCUCGAUGUUGGAUUAAGAUGAAUUUCCGGUGCAGGAGCUGGAGUGUGAUUGGGUCUGUUCGACCUUUAAAAUCUUACAUGAUCUGAGUUCAGACCGGCGUGAGCCAGGUUGGUUUCUAUCUAUAAUAAUGUUUAUACCUUAGUACGAGAGGACCGGGUAUUUGGAAUAAUUUUAUUUAUGUUGGUUUAUCAUUAA